GAUGAACGCUGGCGGCGUGCUUAACACAUGCAAGUCGAACGGAAAGGCUCCUGCUUGCAGGGGUACUCGAGUGGCGAACGGGUGAGUAACACGUGGGUGAUCUGCCCUGCACUUCGGGAUAAGCCUGGGAAACUGGGUCUAAUACCGGAUAGGACCACAUUUUGGAUGGUGUGGUGGAAAGUUUUUCGGUGUGGGAUGAGCUCGCGGCCUAUCAGCUUGUUGGUGGGGUAAUGGCCUACCAAGGCGUCGACGGGUAGCCGGCCUGAGAGGGUGUACGGCCACAUUGGAACUGAGAUACGGGCCAGACUCCUAAGGGAGGCAGGAAGGGGGAAUAUUGCACAAUGGGCGCAAGCCUGAUGCAGCGACGCGGCGUGGGGGAUGAGGGCCUUCGGGUUGUAAGCUCCAUUGGCUAGGGACGAAGCGUUUUUGUGACGGUACCUGGAGAAGAAGCACCGGCUAACUACGUG
RNAcentral lists this ribosomal RNA (467 nucleotides) under uncultured bacterium. RNAcentral describes it as "partial 16S ribosomal RNA". It matches the Rfam family "Bacterial small subunit ribosomal RNA", at positions 28 to 507 of the family's 1533-position model. The record is from RNAcentral.